UACAUAGGGACCAAGCGUUGUUCGGAUUUACUGGGCGUAAAGGGCGCGUAGGCGGCGUGGUAAGUCACUUGUGAAAUCUCUGAGCUUAACUCAGAACGGCCAAGUGAUACUGCUGUGCUAGAGUGCAGAAGGGGCAAUCGGAAUUCUUGGUGUAGCGGUGAAAUGCGUAGAUAUCAAGAGGAACACCUGAGGUGAAGACGGGUUGCUGGGCUGACACUGACGCUGAGGCGCGAAAGCCAGGGGAGCAAACGGG
Molecule: ribosomal RNA, 253 nt
Filed under: uncultured bacterium
Lineage: Bacteria
Description: partial 16S ribosomal RNA
Rfam family: Bacterial small subunit ribosomal RNA
Source: RNAcentral